Molecule: ribosomal RNA, 482 nt
Filed under: uncultured bacterium
Lineage: Bacteria
Description: partial 16S ribosomal RNA
Rfam family: Bacterial small subunit ribosomal RNA
Source: RNAcentral
AUUGAACGCUGGCGGCAUGCCUUACACAUGCAAGUCGAACGGUAACGGGCCUUCGGGUGCCGACGAGUGGCGAACGGGUGAGUAAUACAUCGGAACGUGCCCGAUCGUGGGGGAUAACGAGGCGAAAGCUUUGCUAAUACCGCAUACGAUCUACGGAUGAAAGCAGGGGACCGCAAGGCCUUGCGCGGACGGAGCGGCCGAUGGCAGAUUAGGUAGUUGGUGGGAUAAAAGCUUACCAAGCCGACGAUCUGUAGCUGGUCUGAGAGGAUGAUCAGCCACACUGGGACUGAGACACGUCCCAGACUCCUACGGGAGGCAGCGGUGGGGAAUUUUGGACAAUGGGCGCAAGCCUGAUCCAGCCAUGCCGCGUGCAGGAUGAAGGCCUUCGGGUUGUAAACUGCUUUUGUACGGAACGAAAAGCCUUCUUUUAAUACAGGAGGGUCAUGACGGUACCGUAAGAAUAAGCACCGGCUAACUACGUG